CCUACGGGAGGCAGCAGUGGGGAAUAUUGCACAAUGGGCGAAAGCCUGAUGCAGCAACGCCGCGUGAGCGAUGAAGGCCUUCGGGUCGUAAAGCCCUGUCCUCAAGGAAGAUAAUGACGGUACUUGAGGAGGAAGCACCGGCUAACUACGUGCCAGCAGCCGCGGUAAUACGUAGGGGGCUAGCGUUAUCCGGAAUUACUGGGCGUAAAGGGGGCGUAGGUGGUUUAUUAAGUCAGAGGUGAAAGGCUACGGCUAAACCGUAGUAAGCCUUUGAAACUGGGGGACCUGAGUGUAGGAGAGGAGUGUGGAAUGCGUAGUGUAGCGGUGAAAUGCGUAGAUAUUAGGAGGAACACCAGUUGCGAAGGCGGCUCUCUGGACUGUAACUGACACUGAGGCACGAAAGCGUGGGGAGCGAACAGGAUUAGAUACCCUAGUAGUC
This 439-nucleotide ribosomal RNA is filed under the name uncultured bacterium. RNAcentral describes it as "partial 16S ribosomal RNA". It matches the Rfam family "Bacterial small subunit ribosomal RNA", at positions 338 to 795 of the family's 1533-position model. The record is from RNAcentral.